RNAcentral lists this ribosomal RNA (1547 nucleotides) under uncultured bacterium. RNAcentral's name for it is "partial 16S ribosomal RNA". It matches the Rfam family "Bacterial small subunit ribosomal RNA". The record is from RNAcentral.
GAGUUUGAUCCUGGCUCAGGAUGAACGCUGGCGGCGUGCCUAAUACAUGCAAGUCGAGCGAACGGACGAGAAGCUUGCUUCUCUGAUGUUAGCGGCGGACGGGUGAGUAACACGUGGAUAACCUACCUAUAAGACUGGGAUAACUUCGGGAAACCGGAGCUAAUACCGGAUAAUAUUUUGAACCGCAUGGUUCAAAAGUGAAAGACGGUCUUGCUGUCACUUAUAGAUGGAUCCGCGCUGCAUUAGCUAGUUGGUAAGGUAACGGCUUACCAAGGCAACGAUGCAUAGCCGACCUGAGAGGGUGAUCGGCCACACUGGAACUGAGACACGGUCCAGACUCCUACGGGAGGCAGCAGUAGGGAAUCUUCCGCAAUGGGCGAAAGCCUGACGGAGCAACGCCGCGUGAGUGAUGAAGGUCUUCGGAUCGUAAAACUCUGUUAUUAGGGAAGAACAUAUGUGUAAGUAACUGUGCACAUCUUGACGGUACCUAAUCAGAAAGCCACGGCUAACUACGUGCCAGCAGCCGCGGUAAUACGUAGGUGGCAAGCGUUAUCCGGAAUUAUUGGGCGUAAAGCGCGCGUAGGCGGUUUUUUAAGUCUGAUGUGAAAGCCCACGGCUCAACCGUGGAGGGUCAUUGGAAACUGGAAAACUUGAGUGCAGAAGAGGAAAGUGGAAUUCCAUGUGUAGCGGUGAAAUGCGCAGAGAUAUGGAGGAACACCAGUGGCGAASGCGACUUUCUGGUCUGUAACUGACGCUGAUGUGCGAAAGCGUGGGGAUCAAACAGGAUUAGAUACCCUGGUAGUCCACGCCGUAAACGAUGAGUGCUAAGUGUUAGGGGGUUUCCGCCCCUUAGUGCUGCAGCUAACGCAUUAAGCACUCCGCCUGGGGAGUACGACCGCAAGGUUGAAACUCAAAGGAAUUGACGGGGACCCGCACAAGCGGUGGAGCAUGUGGUUUAAUUCGAAGCAACGCGAAGAACCUUACCAAAUCUUGACAUCCUUUGACAACUCUAGAGAUAGAGCUUUCCCCUUCGGGGGACAAAGUGACAGGUGGUGCAUGGUUGUCGUCAGCUCGUGUCGUGAGAUGUUGGGUUAAGUCCCGCAACGAGCGCAACCCUUAAGCUUAGUUGCCAUCAUUAAGUUGGGCACUCUAAGUCGACUGCCGGUGACAAACCGGAGGAAGGUGGGGAUGACGUCAAAUCAUCAUGCCCCUUAUGAUUUGGGCUACACACGUGCUACAAUGGACAAUACAAAGGGCAGCGAAACCGCGAGGUCAAGCAAAUCCCAUAAAGUUGUUCUCAGUUCGGAUUGUAGUCUGCAACUCGACUACAUGAAGCUGGAAUCGCUAGUAAUCGUAGAUCAGCAUGCUACGGUGAAUACGUUCCCGGGUCUUGUACACACCGCCCGUCACACCACGAGAGUUUGUAACACCCGAAGCCGGUGGAGUAACCUUUUAGGAGCUAGCCGUCGAAGGUGGGACAAAUGAUUGGGGUGAAGUCGUAACAAGGUAGCCGUAUCGGAAGGUGCGGCUGGAUCACCUCCUUUCUA